UGGGGAAUAUUGCACAAUGGGCGCAAGCCUGAUGCAGCCAUGCCGCGUGUGUGAAGAAGGCCUUCGGGUUGUAAAGCACUUUCAGCGAGGAGGAAGGUGGUGAACUUAAUACGUUCAUCAAUUGACGUUACUCGCAGAAGAAGCACCGGCUAACUCCGUGCCAGCAGCCGCGGUAAUACGGAGGGUGCAAGCGUUAAUCGGAAUUACUGGGCGUAAAGCGCACGCAGGCGGUUUGUUAAGUCAGAUGUGAAAUCCCCGGGCUCAACCUGGGAACUGCAUUUGAAACUGGCAAGCUAGAGUCUCGUAGAGGGGGGUAGAAUUCCAGGUGUAGCGGUGAAAUGCGUAGAGAUCUGGAGGAAUACCGGUGGCGAAGGCGGCCCCCCUGGACGAAGACUGACGCUCAGGUGCGAAAGCGUGGGGCAGCAAACAGGAUUAGAUACCCUGGUAGUCCACGCUGUAAACGAUGUCGAUUUGGAGGUUGUGCCCCUUGAGGCGUGGNUUCCGGAGCUAACGCGUUAAAGUCGACCGCCUGGGGGAGUUACGGCC
RNAcentral lists this ribosomal RNA (546 nucleotides) under uncultured bacterium. Its description in RNAcentral is "partial 16S ribosomal RNA". It matches the Rfam family "Bacterial small subunit ribosomal RNA", at positions 355 to 887 of the family's 1533-position model. The record is from RNAcentral.